GUCCAACUGACGAGUCCCAAAGGGGACUAAAAACGCUUCCUGGAU
This is a non-coding RNA of Schistosoma margrebowiei, 45 nucleotides long. The record is from Rfam. NCBI's taxonomy places the organism in Eukaryota, Metazoa, Platyhelminthes, Trematoda, Strigeidida, Schistosomatidae.